UGAAGAACAUGACCUUCGGCGGGGGAUAGCCGGCCCAACGGCCGGGUAAUACCGCGUACGACCACAUGGGGACAUCCCUGAGUGGUGAAAGCAGCAAUGCGCCGAUGGAGUGCCUCGCGGCCUAUCAGCUAGUUGGUGAGGUAACGGCUCACCAAGGCAACGAUGCGUAGCCGACCUGAGAGGGUGAUCGGCCACAUUGGAACUGAGACACGGCCCAGACCUNUACCGGGGAGG
Molecule: ribosomal RNA, 234 nt
Filed under: uncultured bacterium
Lineage: Bacteria
Description: partial 16S ribosomal RNA
Rfam family: Bacterial small subunit ribosomal RNA
Source: RNAcentral